GACGUAGGGGGCAAGCGUUGUCCGGAUUUACUGGGCGUAAAGAGCGCGUAGGCGGUCUGUUAAGUGUAGAGUGAAAGCUCCGGGCUCAACCCGGAAACCGCUCUGCAUACUGGCAGACUGGAGGGACGCAGAGGUCUGUGGAAUUCCUGGUGUAACGGUGAAAUGUGUUGAUAUCAGGAGGAACACCCAUGGCGAAGGCGCUGACCUGGACGAUGAUUGACGCUGAGGCGCGAAAGCAUGGGGAGCGAACAGG
RNAcentral lists this ribosomal RNA (253 nucleotides) under uncultured bacterium. RNAcentral describes it as "partial 16S ribosomal RNA". It matches the Rfam family "Bacterial small subunit ribosomal RNA", at positions 524 to 776 of the family's 1533-position model. The record is from RNAcentral.